UUGGUACAAAAAUAAAAAUUAUUUUUAAAGAUUCAAAUGUUACUUUUGCUUCUUGAUUCUAUUGAAGUUUUUCUUUAUAAAUCAAAGAUAUAAGUAGAGCUGCAAUUUGAGAGAAGUUCUUGAUGAAAAUUUGAUAGUACUUGAUAAAUCUAAAAAAGCAUUGAACAUCUCUUAUCAUUAUUAUAAUACGUGAAGUCUUGCUUGAGAAUGCUCUAUGCACUUAAUUGUGGAAGGUAGAAUAGAAAUUGUAACAAUAAAAUCUUAAUUCUAACAGAAUACUAAUUAAAUUCUAAUUAGACCAUAACAAUGUUAAGCAAGCUUUAAUAAAAUUCAAAGAAAUCUCAAAGGAAUUAUAAAGAAACAAUAAAAAAUCUUAAAGAAAUAUUAAAAUGAUCACAAAUAUAUCUCAAAUACACCUCAAUUCAAUCUUAAUUUAAUCCUAGUCAAAAUCUUGUUGGACUUCAUUCAAAGUUUAGGCCAAAAACUAACUAAAUCUUAAACCUUAAUAAAAUCUUACAUCCUAAAUCAAAUCCUAAUCAAAUCCUAAAUUCUAAAUCAACUUCUAAUCAAAUCCUAAUUCUAAAUUAAAUCCUAAUCAAACCCUAAAUCUUAAAUCAAAUCCUAAAUCUUAAACCAAAUCCUAACCAAAUCCUAAUCCUAAAUCAAAUUCUAACCAAACUCUAAUUCUAAAUCAAAUCCUAAUCAAAUCUUAAAUCCUAAAUCAAAUCCUAAUCAAAUCCUAAAUCCUAAAUUAAAUCCUAAUCAAAUCCUAAUCCUAAAUCAAAUCCUAAUCAAAUCCUAACUCUAAAUCAAAUCCUAACCAAA
This 825-nucleotide long non-coding RNA is filed under the name Physcomitrium patens. RNAcentral's name for it is "long non-coding RNA (PPAT_LNC003624)". Lineage: Eukaryota; Viridiplantae; Streptophyta; Bryopsida; Funariales; Funariaceae. The record is from RNAcentral.